CAUUAAGAAGCUUUUAUAGCGUCAGCCUUUUAAGUUGAAGAAGAAAUUUGUGCUUUCCUUAGUGA
This 65-nucleotide transfer RNA is filed under the name Emydocephalus ijimae. Its description in RNAcentral is "tRNA-Lys". RNAcentral also lists the same sequence under 1 other name. The record is from RNAcentral. Lineage: Eukaryota; Metazoa; Chordata; Lepidosauria; Squamata; Elapidae.